UCUUUCCCAAACAUCCAUUUCGCAACAUCCCUUUCAAUGCAAAACGUGGCCUGUUGCUUUUCGAUCCGACAUAACAAACAUUUGAGUAUCCAAUUUACUUUGAGACAAAAUUCGGAAUCACAUGACCAAGCGAUUGUUAACAUUCUUUUGGGAUAUUUAGAAAAAAUUAUUUGUAAAUGUUAUUUUUGAGCAUUUGUAGAUAAAUGCUUUAUUGAAUGUGUUGAAUUAGUAUACUUUUGCAAUUUUGCGGAUAUGCAAAAUUUCCAGUUUUGCAAUUAAUUUCGAAUUAACAUAUCGAGGUAAAACGUAAAUCAUUCAAAAGUAAUUAAUUUCAUCCAAUUUAACGGGAUAACAAUUCCAUGAUAAAAUGAAUUUAAUAGCAUUUCCAUUCUUUCCAAUACUGUUCAUAAGAGCUCAUCAAGACAAUAUGUUCAGCUGCCUCUUUUUUCCAGCGUGGACUCUCCUAGCAAUCUUCCCACCCGGCUUUCUUAUCAACUCGGACUUCGAUUGGUGUGCGGUACGACGCAAGCGUCACUCGACCUCGGUUGGUCUCUCGUCGUCUCUGGGCCCCUCGGCAGUCGCUCAUCAGCGUCCAGGCCAACUGGUUCUCGCAUCUCUUUAACUGGCUUUCUCCUCGCCUCGCCCGUGUCGAACAGUAUUCUUCAGUGCACCAUGGCAUCCGUGUGUAUCAUCGGCUCCGGCAACUGGGGCUCGGCUAUUGCGAAGAUAGUCGGCGCCAACGCCAAGAAGCAAAAUGUUUUCGCCGACCGUGUCACCAUGUACGUUUACGAAGAGAUUAUCGACGGCAAGAAGUUAACAGAGAUUAUCAACGAGACUCACGAGAACAUCAAGUAUCUUCCAGGCCAUAAAAUUCCCGAGAACGUGGUUGCGAUACCUGACGUGGUGGAAGCGGCGAAGAACGCUGACAUACUCAUCUUUGUAGUGCCGCAUCAGUUCAUCCAGAGGAUAUGCGGUACGUUGCAGGGAAAGAUCAAACCCACCGCUGUUGGGCUCUCGCUGAUCAAGGGCUUCGACAAAAAAGAGGGUGGCGGUAUCGAGCUUAUAUCUCACAUAAUCUCGAGACAACUGCAAAUCCCAGUAUCGGUCCUGAUGGGCGCAAAUCUGGCUUCCGAGGUGGCUGACGAGAUGUUUUGCGAGACUACCAUUGGAUGCAAGGACAAGGCAAUGGCGCCGGUGCUCCGCGACUUGAUUCAGACCUCAUACUUCAGGGUGGUAGUCGUCGACGACGUGGACUCCGUAGAGUGCUGCGGGGCGCUAAAGAACAUAGUUGCCUGUGGCGCUGGAUUUAUUGACGGCUUGGACCUGGGUGACAACACGAAGGCCGCAGUGAUCAGGCUGGGUCUCAUGGAGAUGAUCAAGUUUGUCGAAGUGUUCUUCCCAGGCGGAAAACUGUCGACCUUCUUUGAAAGUUGCGGAGUGGCCGAUCUGAUCACGACGUGCUACGGUGGACGCAACAGGAAGGUUUCAGAAGCCUUCGUCAGGACUGGCAAGUCGAUCGCGACGCUGGAGAAUGAAAUGCUGAAAGGCCAGAAGCUGCAGGGCCCGUUCACCGCCGAGGAGGUGAACUACAUGCUGAAGUUGAAGAACAUGGAACACAGGUUCCCGCUGUUCACGGCAAUUCACCGGAUUUGCGUCGGUGAGCUAAAACCGACGGAUUUAAUCGACUGCAUACGUAGCCAUCCCGAACACAUAAAUCUUAGCUCUUCUGUCCCUCGUUUCCCUGGAGUCUGAAAAAGAACAAUCCACGAUUCACGAUCAACCAGGCCCCGUUUCAUCCCCUCCUGAGACUGAAACACUUGGACAAGCUUCAGCAGUGAAAACGUGAAUCGCGAAUUGAAACAGCGGAAGAAAGUAACGUGCACGCGGAUCCGGACGUCGCUUCUGAAGGGACGGAGACGCCCUGCCGUUGUCGAUGACGCUGAAGUCUCCCAAGUGUCGCCUCUGAAGACGCCCGGCGUCGAUCAUCGACCGAGGACUUGUUGCCGGAGAGAGUCAACGCCGUAGAUCGCUCAAACGCGUGAUGUUAGUUAAGUGAUUCAGUUGGCUUAUCAAGACACAGUUAUCAGUUAUCGCAGUGAAACGUUACUUAUUAAGCGGGAGUGCCACCGAGGCCGGUGGCAUGAUUCCGAUAUUGUCUUGUCAAUUAUGUCCUUUGUGUAUCCAGAACAAUGUUAUUUCAUCCGAGAAGCUCUCUUACUUCUUCGUUUGGAAGCGCUCGAGGAACUCUUUGUGAAAUAAUGAACGAACGAAAUAGCAAUGAGCGAGUUGCAGAAAGUUCUGUAAGAUGUAUCAAUGCGUGAAGAUUCGAUAUAACUGUGAUAUUUUAUAGAUCGUCCAAAGUAUUAAAUGAUUCAUGUCAUUGUUCC
RNA transcript from Ooceraea biroi (clonal raider ant), 2387 nucleotides. It is a transcript of the gene named Glycerol-3-phosphate dehydrogenase 1, with no coding region annotated. Lineage: Eukaryota; Metazoa; Arthropoda; Insecta; Hymenoptera; Formicidae. The record is from RefSeq and is a predicted model, not a curated record.